Molecule: long non-coding RNA, 1148 nt
Filed under: Phasianus colchicus (ring-necked pheasant)
Lineage: Eukaryota; Metazoa; Chordata; Aves; Galliformes; Phasianidae
Description: lncRNA (ENSPCLG00000016673.1)
Source: RNAcentral
ACCCUAUGGGGAUCCCGACAUCCCAAACCUAGGGGGUUCCCAACACCCCAAACCCUAUGGGGAUCCCAACACCCCAAUCCCUACGGGGAUCCCGACACCCCAAACCCUAUGGGGAUCCCAACACCCCAAUCCCUACCAGGAUCCUGACACCCCAAUCUCUAUGGGGAUCCCGACACACCAAACCCAUGGGGAUCCCAACACCCCAAUCCCUACAGGGAUCUCAACACCCAAACCCUAUGGGGAUCCCAACACACCAAACCCUAUGGGGAUCCCAACACACCAAACCCUACAGAGAUCCCAACGGCCUAAUCCCUACAGGGAUCCUGACACCCCAAUCCCAUGGGGAUCCCAACACCCCAAACCCUAUAGGGAUCCCGACACCCCAAAUCCAUGGGGAUCCUGACACCCCAAACCCAUGGGGAUCCCAACAUCCUAAUCCCUGUGGGAAUCCCAACACCCCAAACCCAUGAAGAUCCCGACACCCCAAACCCAUGAAGAUCCCAACACCCCAAACCCCAUGGGGAUCCCGACACCUCAAACCCUACGGGGAUCCCAAUAUCCUAAAUCCAUGGGGAUCCCAACACCCAAAGACACCAGGCAACCCAACCCCGCUGAAAAAUAUGGGAAACUCAAUGCUCAAAGACUUUGGGAAACCCCGUGCUCCAAACACCCACACAGAUCUCAGAACCCAAAGCCCCACAGGGAUCCCAAAGCCCCAAACCCCCAUGGGAUACUCAACACUCAAAGACAUCAGGCAGCCCAAAUGCACUUAAAAAUAUGGGAAACCCAAUGCUCAAAGACUUCAAGACACUAAAACCCUUUGGGAAACUCAAGACUCAGAAAGAAACUCAACACUCAGAGAUUUGGGGAAACCAGCGCUCAAAAUCCCUCAGGAAACUCAACGCUUCCAAAAUCCGCUGGGAACCCAACGCUGGAAGACCCCCAGGAACCCAACACGGGGUGAGACAAAGACAACAUGGAACCCAGUGCCCAAAGACCCCUGGGGAUCACGCUGCUAAAAAGGCUCCACAAAGAACCCAACGCUCCAAGAUGUUGAGAAAGCCAACCCUCAAAGACCCCUCAAGGACACAGCGCUCAAAGAUGGCAGGGAAUCCAACAUUCAAAGACCCCUCAGGGAACCCAACGCU